UACGGGGGGGGCAAGCGUUGUUCGGAAUUACUGGGCGUAAAGGGCUCGUAGGCGGCCAACUAAGUCAGACGUGAAAUCCCUCGGCUUAACCGGGGAACUGCGUCUGAUACUGGAUGGCUUGAGGUUGGGAGAGGGAUGCGGAAUUCCAGGUGUAGCGGUGAAAUGCGUAGAUAUCUGGAGGAACACCGAUGGCGAAGGCAGGUCUCUGGGCCACUACUGACGCUGAGAAGCGAAAGCAUGGGGAGCGAACAGG
Molecule: ribosomal RNA, 253 nt
Filed under: uncultured bacterium
Lineage: Bacteria
Description: partial 16S ribosomal RNA
Rfam family: Bacterial small subunit ribosomal RNA
Source: RNAcentral